AGAAGUGAGAAUGCCGGUGUGAGUAGCGAAAGACGGGUGAGAAUCCCGUCCACCGAUUGACUAAGGUUUCCAGAGGAAGGCUCGUCCGCUCUGGGUUAGUCGGGUCCUAAGCUGAGGCCGACAGGCGUAGGCGAUGGAUAACAGGUUGAUAUUCCUGUACCACCAUUAUUCGUUUUAAGCGAUGGGGGGACGCAGUAGGAUAGGCGAAGCGUGCUGUUGGAGUGCACGUCCAAGCAGUGAGAUUGAGUGUUAGGCAAAUCCGGCACUCUUAAGAUUGAGCUGUGAUGGGGAGAGGAACUUGUUCCUCGAGUCGUUGAUUUCACACUGCCGAGAAAAGCCUCUAGCUAGAAUAACGGUGCCCGUACCGCAAACCGACACAGGUAGUCAAGAUGAGAAUUCUAAGGUGAGCGAGCGAACUCUCGUUAAGGAACUCGGCAAAAUGACCCCGUAACUUCGGGAGAAGGGGUGCUCUUUGAGGUUCACGCUUCGAAGAGCCGCAGUGAAUAGGCCCAAGCGACUGUUUAUCAAAAACACAGGUCUCUGCUAAACCGUAAGGUGACGUAUAGGGGCUGACGCCUGCCCGGUGCUGGAAGGUUAAGAGGAGUGGUUAGCGCAAGCGAAGCUACGAAUCGAAGCCCCAGUAAACGGCGGCCGUAACUAUAACGGUCCUAAGGUAGCGAAAUUCCUUGUCGGGUAAGUUCCGACCCGCACGAAAGGCGUAACGAUUUGGGCACUGUCUCAACGAGAGACUCGGUGAAAUCAUAGUACCGGUGAAGAUGCCGGUUACCCGCGACAGGACGGAAAGACCCCGUGGAGCUUUACUGUAGCCUGAUAUUGAAAUUCGGUACAGUUUGUACAGGAUAGGUAGGAGCCUUAGAAGCGUGAGCGCUAGCUUACGUGGAGGCAUUGGUGGGAUACUACCCU
RNAcentral lists this ribosomal RNA (924 nucleotides) under Staphylococcus pseudintermedius. RNAcentral's name for it is "partial 23S ribosomal RNA". It matches the Rfam family "Bacterial large subunit ribosomal RNA", at positions 1284 to 2206 of the family's 2925-position model. The record is from RNAcentral. Lineage: Bacteria; Bacillati; Bacillota; Bacilli; Caryophanales; Staphylococcaceae.